Mya arenaria is the source of this 5584-nucleotide RNA transcript. RefSeq lists it as uncharacterized. The record is from RefSeq and is a predicted model, not a curated record. NCBI's taxonomy places the organism in Eukaryota, Metazoa, Mollusca, Bivalvia, Myida, Myidae. The transcript has 10 exons.
AUUGUAUUCAAGCAAUCAAAGUGAUAACAAAAUGGAUACCAGUGUAUACGUUAUUUUAUGUUGCCUUGUACUUGGUGUAGAUGUGUCUUGCUCGUGUGGGGCAUUGACAAUUAUUAAGCCUACAUUUGUUAACAGAAACGUCACUUUAAAAUUCAUCCCUCACAACCAAUGGAUCACAAACAUUGCCUGGAAGUAUACUCCGGUGUGGGACGAAACAAACGAACACACAGUAGAAGGGCUGAAGGGACGUUUUACACAAACUGUUCAGGAUGCGUCAAACUAUCAUACUUUCUUGUUCUAUGCGAACAUAUUUUACAAUAAUUCAAAAUUUCAUGUUCAAUGUAGCAAUCUAAAAGAUGUCACAAGAUCAAACACAGUAAAGAUACACUUACAUGAAAUCAAGACCAAAUGUGGCAAUCUGGUCCUCCUAUCCCCGGAAAUAAAAUAUGGAAAAAAUGUUCAAUUAGCGUUUUACCCUUCUGAUGCUACAUUGGCCAACGAGAAAAAUUUGUAUAAUGAACGUACAAUGUUAAAAUGGGUUGGACAGCCACUGCACCUUCGAGAGGUCAUUUUUGAAAAGAGGAAAAUGUCAGCUUAUUUGUACACAAUAUACAACUUUACGGAGAAUAAAGCUGGACAUUACACUUUGAAAUGUAAUAGACCAGAAACAUUUUACACUAACUGGGUAAACAUACAAAUAACUGAAAGGCAGCUAAUUGGACCAGUAUGGAAUGAUUGCCUUUACGGUAAUGUAGACACUACCAUUUAUUGCAACUCAAGUCGUAUAAUAGGAAAACCUCGUGUGACCCUUUCCAUUGAAAUCAAAGGAGUUACAAUUCUAGCGAACAAAACAGAGCCAGGGGUAUAUACAGUUGUACUUGGCUAAAACACUUGGAGAGACCAUGACGGCGAUGUUAUAACAUGCACCGUCUCUAACGAUAAUUAUAUACAUGACCUGAAGAGUUCAGCUAAAUUGUGUUACAUGGAGAAAGGCUCGGACCCUUUUUCGACCAUGCCAGAAUAUAUCCACAAUGAAAAUACGACAGUCAGUUGCGAGGUGUCAAAUGCACGCCCACCAGCGAUGAUUGAACUGUUGGUAGACAACCUAGCGAUCAUUGAUGUCAUUCAAGUGGAUUCUAUUAACAAAACAUCAAAAACAUACUCCAGUAAAGCUUUGAUAUCAAAGAUAGACAAGAAAUGGAAUGGAAAGGAAAUAUGCUGUCGUCGAAAAUUUACAAUAUACGGAAAUAUAGGAGCAAGCUGUAAAACAUUAAAAAUAAAAUGCGGUUUAGAGAAUGACACACAAGCAAAUGGUCUAUGUAAUGAGACGAAAUGGACGUCAAAUUUAACUGAAACGAAAGAGAACAGGAAAAUUGAACAAAAACCAACAAAUCCUACGAAGAAUGGAACUAAAUUCUGCCAGGAACCAACGAUUGUUGCAGGAACGAAUUUUUUCUUAAUAUAACAGAAUUUUACUUUCUUGUAUAUCUUUAAAUUUGAUUUACCUUUUAAGAAUAUGUAUUUCUUGGGUUAAAUACGUUUGAUUGAAAAAAUAUUUUUACAUUGAAUCAUGUAAAUGUAAUGGUGUUUUAUCGCUAUUACAGGCGACAACAGUAGACGGUCGUUCAAAGUUUUGCUUAAGCCAAUAUUGAUAGGAUCAGGAGCGUUUGUUGCUCUUUGUAUAUUUGUUGGGUCAGCAAGAACACUGGUACGGUGGCAUAAGAGUAGAAGCAGAACCAAGGUACCGGACAAAACAGAAGUCACACCAUCAGCGAUCGAAACUUCUCCCUCUCUUGAUACAAACGUGUUUGUGGAAAUACCUGAGACAUCAAUUCCUAUGAAUGCUUCUCACGAUCUGGUAGAUUAUGUUAUUGAAGAUACGGGAAGAAACAAUAAUGGCCCGGAAGCAAACCACAGCUAUUGAGUCACAGCAUGCGGAAAGCAGUCUGAUUUACGCGAAUCUGGACAUUGACCAUCUACAGAAAGCCUUUGUCGGUCCGAUACGUGGCCCACGUCCAACCAUACGAAAAGAAGCAACGGAGUAUCAAGAUAUAGACUUUUAUCACACAAAACCUGCGGGUCCACAUUAAAUAUAAUAAGAAACGUGUAGAAACGCGUAGAUUGUGUAAUGACUCUGGCAAAACAGGAUGACAACAUUGCAUACUGUAGUCUGCAGACUGUGUUAUGACUGUUGCUUGUACUUGCAGCGCGUAAAUUGUGUUAUAACAGCAUUGCUUUUGUGUUGAUUGUGUCAUGACUGUUGAGAAACAGGAUGACUUCAACGCUUAUACAUGCAACGCGUAGAUUGUGUAAUAACAGCAUUGAUUCUGUUUAAACUGUGUUAUGAUUGAUGCAAACCAGGAUAAUUUUAUUGAUAUGUAAACCGAGAAGAUUGUGUUAUGAAUGUUGCGGAACAGGUUGGCUUAAUUGCUUAUGUGUAUUUAGCGCAGCAUGUGUAAUGACUUUUGCAAAACAGGAUGAAUUCAUUAUUUAUAUGUAACUCGUGUAUAUUGGUUAACUGCUGUUGUAAAACAGAAUCACUACAUUGCAUUGAUAUAACUCAUAUAGAUUGUGUAAUGGACGAAUGGCAAUUACAAAACAGAAUUACUUCAUGGUUGAUAUGUAAAUCAGGUAGUUCGUAUUAUAACUUAUUCAAAACAAGAUGACAACAUUCCUGAUAUGUUAAACGCGUAGAUUGUACAAUGACUAUUGCAAAACAGGUGGACCUCAUUGCUUAUAUCUGAAGGUGUAGAUUGUGUAAUGACUUUUGCAAACAGGAGGACCCGACUACUAAUACGAGGGUGUUAGGGAAGUUCGCGGGAUUUCAAUAUACUUGUCGUAAAAUGGGGUAUUCUAAAAAAGAAAAUUCGGCAUAAUAAUAUUUUAUAUUUUGUUAUGCAAAUUUAUCAUUUCCUAACGAUAACAUUAAAACGUAUAUCCAUUAGUGUAAAUACAAAAUGACCGUCCAAUACACUCCGGUUCACGGGUGACGUUACAUUACGUAAACAACGUCAAAAUCUAGCACUUUAUUGACUUUCUAAACAUAGUCUCCGCCCGUCAGUUCACAUUUUUUAUGUCUGCCAAUCCAUUUACGGUAAGUGUCAAAUGUAGACACGAUCCACUGUGUCGUCUGUUGAAGGUUGUCUCCGCAACUGCCGCUUUAUCUCCGGAAAAAAACAUGGAAGUCAAUUGGGGCCAGAACGGGGAUGUUUCAAUAUCUAACCCCAAAACAUAAUUUCAAGCUGUGUGGACGCUGCUCUAUGUGCCGGGGCAUUAUCCUGGUGGAUAAUAAUGCGGUCAAUGUCCAUAUUCCGCCGAUUCUUUUGAAUCGCGUGCACGAGAUCCUUCCGCAGUACUUUGGAGUUAUAAUCGCCAUUAACUGUCCUACCUGGAAUGCGGUGUUGCAGAAUCUUGCACUCUCGAUCCCUGAAGAAAAUAUACAUUUUUUUAAAGUUUUUUGUUUGCACUUUAGCUUUCUUUGGCAAGGGCGUUCUGGGAGUUUUCCAAUUGGUUGUUGUACUUUGGUUUCAGGGUCGUAGUAACAGUGCCACAUCUCGUCCGUUGUGAUUAUGCACCUUAGAAAUUCUUCUCCCUCCGUGUCUUAACGUUGAAGACAGACAAACAGGCCGAACGUCCUUCCGCUUCUUUUAACGAACGAGCCACACAUGAUGCACUUACUUAGGACAUUUCUAGUUCAUUUGUUAAUAAUUCGUAUACAGAAGUCCAUUUAAGUUCAAGGUUUUCUGCUAUGGUUCUCGUUGUUGUUUUUCUGUCUUUGUUGAUUAGUUCAUGGACUCUCUCCACGUUUGCAGCUAAUAUCACUUACGGGCGUACACUCCUGUCUCCAUCCUCAAUCGAUAUUCUUCAAUUCCGAAACCGCUAAUGCCAUUUGUAAACGAACGUUUUCCCGCCAAAUUAUACCUUAGACGAUUCUUUAAUAAGUUUUAGAAUUUUGGACGCAUGACUUCCUCAGUACAACACAAACUUUCACCAUUUUGCGCUAUUCAACAUCACCCGUUGACGUUAUGGUGUUACAGUUGUUUUGCGAAAGAUGUUGCUAAUACACAAUCAAAUCCUAACGAUAGCAACUACAACGUUCACAUUUUAAGGAAAUGACGUCAAGAUGCGCACCUAACGUGGCGACUUUUGGGGGGAAAUUUGGCAUUGAUUGAGUGAUAAAAACCGUGAUAAUUAUCGUUUAACGUGUUUGAAAUUUGUACGUGCUCCGGGUUACUGUCAGUGCGUCGAUUCAAAAUUCAAGUAAAAAUAUUGCUUAGUUACUCAUACAUACAAUUUCAGAGAAAUAGAAGAACAAAUUACCAUUUACAGAAUAUUCCCGCGAACUUCCCGAAAACUCCUCGUAUGUCAAUUUACAAAACCUGAUGACUACAUUACUUAUUUAUGAAACGCAUCGAUUGUGUAAAACCUAUUGCAAAGCAGGAUAGCUACAUUACUUACAUGUAAAACGCAUCGAGUGUGUAACGACUGUUGCAAAGCAAUAUGGUUACAUUACUUAUAUGUGAAACGCGUAGACUUUGUAACGACUGUUGCGAAGCAAGAUGGCUACUUUACUCGUAUGUGAAACGCGUAGACGGUGUAAUGACUGUUACAAAGCAAGAUGGCUACAUUACUCGUAUGUGAAACGCGUAGACGGUGUAAUGACUGUUGCAAAGCAAGAUGGCUACAUUACUCGUAUGUGAAACGCGUAGACGGUGUAAUGACUGUUGCAAAGCAAGGUGGCUACAUUAUUCGUAUGUGAAACGCGUAGACUGUGUAAUGACUGUUACAAAGCAAGAUGGCUACAUUACUCGUAUGUGAAACGCGUAGACGGUGUAAUGACUGUUGCAAAGCAAGAUGGCUACAUUACUCGUAUGUGAAACGCGUAGACGGUGUAAUGACUGUUGCAAAGCAAGGUGGCUACAUUAUUCGUAUGUGAAACGCGUAGACUGUGUAAUGACUGUUACAAAGCAAGAUGGCUACAUUACUCGUAUGUGAAACGCGUAGGCGGUGUAAUGACUGUUACAAAGCAAGAUGGCUACAUUACUCGUAUGUGAAACGCGUAGACUGUGUAAUGACUGUUGCAAAGCAAGAUGGCUACAUUAUUCGUAUGUGAAACGCGUAGACUGUGUAAUGACUGUUACAAAGCAAGAUGGCUACAUUACUCGUAUGUGAAACGCGUAGACGGUGUAAUGACUGUUACAAAGCAAGAUGGCUACAUUACUCGUAUGUGAAACGCGUAGGCUGUGUAAUGACUGUUGCAAAGCAAGAUUGCUACAUUACUCGUAUGUGAAACGCGUAGGCUGUGUAAUGACUGUUGCAAAGCAAGAUGGCUACAUUACUCGUAAAUGACUGUUGCAAAACAGAAGGUCUAGAUUAUAAAUUAUUCCAAACGAUCGUAGAUUUGGAAUCUAAUAUGGCUAAACAAUUAGGACCGGAUGCAUGAGAAAACGUGUUAAUUGUGUAUUGAUGGGCAUAUGAAAGUACAUGUUAUAUAAUCUUUAUGAUGCACAAUCUAAUAUCCAUACAAUAAUAAUCAUUAUUUGGUGAAAAAAUAAAUGACGUUUAUAAUGAAUUGCGCUAUCUU